This is a long non-coding RNA of Oreochromis niloticus (Nile tilapia), 469 nucleotides long. RefSeq lists it as uncharacterized. Lineage: Eukaryota; Metazoa; Chordata; Actinopteri; Cichliformes; Cichlidae. The record is from RefSeq and is a predicted model, not a curated record. The transcript has 3 exons.
ACCAAAGUUUGUCUGGUCUGCAGAUGUUCAUUCAGCAGCAUCUCUCACAGUGAGUCCUGACAGAGUGCAACACUUCACCUCUGACUCUGUCUCACUGACCUGUGAGGGAAACUUCACUGAGUGGAGAGUGAGGAAGUUCUCUGAGGACGGCCGACUCUCUGACUGUAGGAGAAUGACUGGAUCCACAUGUAACAUCGACACAUCAGAGUCAGAUACUGGAGUGUACUGGUGUGAGUCUGGAUCAGGAGAGUUCAGCAGUGCAGUCAACAUCACUGUACAGAAUGAUGGUAAUGGUCCCAUCCUGGUGAGUCCUGUUCAUCCUGUGACUGAGGGAGCUUCUGUUAGUCUGAGCUGCAGUUUGAAAACACAAAAAAUACUUUCCAAUGUGUUUUUCUAUCACAAUGACAAACUUAUUCAAAAUGAUCCCCGAGGGGAGCUGAAGAUCUCUGCAGUGUCAAAGUCUGAUGAA